AUUGAACGCUGGCGGCAUGCCUUACACAUGCAAGUCGAACGGCAGCACGGAGCUUGCUCUGGUGGCGAGUGGCGAACGGGUGAGUAAUAUAUCGGAACGUACCCUAGAGUGGGGGAUAACGUAGCGAAAGUUACGCUAAUACCGCAUACGAUCUAAGGAUGAAGGUGGGGGAUCGCAAGACCUCAUGCUCGUGGAGCGGCCGAUAUCUGAUUAGCUAGUUGGUAGGGUAAAAGCCUACCAAGGCAUCGAUCAGUAGCUGGUCUGAGAGGACGACCAGCCACACUGGAACUGAGACACGGUCCAGACUCCUACGGGAGGCAGCAGUGGGGAAUUUUGGACAAUGGGCGAAAGCCUGAUCCAGCAAUGCCGCGUGAGUGAAGAAGGCCUUCGGGUUGUAAAGCUCUUUUGUCAGGGAAGAAACGGUGAGAGCUAAUUUCUCUUGCUAAUGACGGUACCUGAAGAAUAAGCACCGGCUAACUACGUGCCAGCAGCCGCGGUAAUACGUAGGGUGCAAGCGUUAAUCGGAAUUACUGGGCGUAAAGCGUGCGCAGGCGGUUUUGUAAGUCUGAUGUGAAAUCCCCGGGCUCAACCUGGGAAUUGCAUUGGAGACUGCAAGGCUAGAAUCUGGCAGAGGGGGGUAGAAUUCCACGUGUAGCAGUGAAAUGCGUAGAUAUGUGGAGGAACACCGAUGGCGAAGGCAGCCCCCUGGGUCAAGAUUGACGCUCAUGCACGAAAGCGUGGGGAGCAAACAGGAUUAGAUACCCUGGUAGUCCACGCCCUAAACGAUGUCUACUAGUUGUCGGGUCUUAAUUGACUUGGUAACGCAGCUAACGCGUGAAGUAGACCGCCUGGGGAGUACGGUCGUAAGAUUAAAACUCAAAGGAAUUGACGGGGACCCGCACAAGCGGUGGAUGAUGUGGAUUAAUUCGAUGCAACGCGAAAAACCUUACCUACCCUUGACAUGGCUGGAAUCCUUGAGAGAUCAGGGAGUGCUCGAAAGAGAACCAGUACACAGGUGCUGCAUGGCUGUCGUCAGCUCGUGUCGUGAGAUGUUGGGUUAAGUCCCGCAACGAGCGCAACCCUUGUCAUUAGUUGCUACGAAAGGGCACUCUAAUGAGACUGCCGGUGACAAACCGGAGGAAGGUGGGGAUGACGUCAAGUCCUCAUGGCCCUUAUGGGUAGGGCUUCACACGUCAUACAAUGGUACAUACAGAGCGCCGCCAACCCGCGAGGGGGAGCUAAUCGCAGAAAGUGUAUCGUAGUCCGGAUUGUAGUCUGCAACUCGACUGCAUGAAGUUGGAAUCGCUAGUAAUCGCGGAUCAGCAUGUCGCGGUGAAUACGUUCCCGGGUCU
This 1352-nucleotide ribosomal RNA is filed under the name uncultured bacterium. RNAcentral describes it as "bacterial SSU rRNA". It matches the Rfam family "Bacterial small subunit ribosomal RNA", at positions 28 to 1381 of the family's 1533-position model. The record is from RNAcentral.